GAAGCUAUAGCUCAGUGGUAGAGUGUGUGCUUAGCAUGCAUAGGUCUUGGGUUCAAUUCCAAGUACCUCCA
RNAcentral lists this transfer RNA (71 nucleotides) under Camelus bactrianus (Bactrian camel). It matches the Rfam family "tRNA". From Rfam's summary of the family: Transfer RNA (tRNA) molecules are approximately 80 nucleotides in length. Their secondary structure includes four short double-helical elements and three loops (D, anti-codon, and T loops). Further hydrogen bonds mediate the characteristic L-shaped molecular structure. tRNAs have two regions of fundamental functional importance: the anti-codon, which is responsible for specific mRNA codon recognition, and the 3' end, to which the tRNAs corresponding amino acid is attached (by aminoacyl-tRNA synthetases). tRNAs cope with the degeneracy of the genetic code in two manners: having more than one tRNA (with a specific anti-codon) for a particular amino acid; and 'wobble' base-pairing, i.e. permitting non-standard base-pairing at the 3rd anti-codon position. RNAcentral also lists the same sequence under 1 other name. The record is from Rfam by way of RNAcentral. Lineage: Eukaryota; Metazoa; Chordata; Mammalia; Artiodactyla; Camelidae.